UACGUAGGGUGCAAGCGUUAAUCGGAAUUACUGGGCGUAAAGGGCGCGUAGGCGGCCGCUUGCGUCGGAUGUGAAAGCCCGGGGCUCAACCCCGGAACGGCAUCCGAUACGGGGCGGCUCGAGACCGAGAGAGGUGAGUGGAAUACCCAGUGUAGAGGUGAAAUUCGUAGAUAUUGGGUGGAACACCGGUGGCGAAAGCGGCUCACUGGCUCGGUUCUGACGCUGAGGCGCGAAAGCGUGGGGAGCAAACAGG
Molecule: ribosomal RNA, 253 nt
Filed under: uncultured bacterium
Lineage: Bacteria
Description: partial 16S ribosomal RNA
Rfam family: Bacterial small subunit ribosomal RNA
Source: RNAcentral